This 460-nucleotide ribosomal RNA is filed under the name uncultured bacterium. Its description in RNAcentral is "partial 16S ribosomal RNA". It matches the Rfam family "Bacterial small subunit ribosomal RNA", at positions 338 to 795 of the family's 1533-position model. The record is from RNAcentral.
CCUACGGGGGGCAGCAGUGAGGAAUAUUGGUCAAUGGACGAGAGUCUGAACCAGCCAAGUAGCGUGAAGGAUGACUGCCCUAUGGGUUGUAAACUUCUUUUAUAAAGGAAUAAAACGAGGCACGUGUGCCUGUUUGCAUGUACUUUAUGAAUAAGGAUCGGCUAACUCCGUGCCAGCAGCCGCGGUAAUACGGAGGAUCCGAGCGUUAUCCGGAUUUAUUGGGUUUAAAGGGAGCGUAGAUGGGUUGUUAAGUCAGUUGUGAAAGUUUGCGGCUCAACCGUAAAAUUGCAAUUGAUACUGGCAGUCUUGAGUACAGUUGAGGUAGGCGGAAUUCGUGGUGUAGCGGUGAAAUGCUUAGAUAUCACGAAGAACCCCGAUUGCGAAGGCAGCUUACUGAACUGUGACUGACAUUGAUGCUCGAAAGUGUGGGUAUCAAACAGGAUUAGAUACCCCAGUAGUC